CCUACGGGAGACAGCAGUGAGGAAUAUUGGUCAAUGGGCGGAAGCCUGAACCAGCCAAGUCGCGUGAGGGAUUAAGGCCCUGCGGGUCGUAAACCUCUUUUGCCGGGGAGCAGAGGUCCGGACGUGUCCGGGCCGGGAGAGUACCCGGAGAAAAAGCAUCGGCUAACUCCGUGCCAGCAGCCGCGGUAAUAUGGAGGAUGCGAGCGUUAUCCGGAUUUAUUGGGUUUAAAGGGUGCGUAGGCUGGCAUUUAAGCCGGCGGUCAAAUGUCGGGGCUCAACCCCGGCCUGCCGUCGGAACUGGGUGCCUUGAGUGGGCGAGAAGUAUGCGGAAGGCGUGGUGUAGCGGUGAAAUGCAUAGAUAUCACGCAGAACCCCGAUUGCGAAGGCAGCAUACCGGCGCCCUACUGACGCUGAGGCACGAAAGUGCGGGUAUCGAACAGGAUUAGAUACCCCAGUAGUC
This 460-nucleotide ribosomal RNA is filed under the name uncultured bacterium. RNAcentral describes it as "partial 16S ribosomal RNA". It matches the Rfam family "Bacterial small subunit ribosomal RNA", at positions 338 to 795 of the family's 1533-position model. The record is from RNAcentral.